AUUGAACGCUGGCGGCAUGCUUUACACAUGCAAGUCGAACGGCAGCACGGACUUCGGUCCGGUGGCGAGUGGCGAACGGGUGAGUAAUACAUCGGAACGUGCCCAGUUGUGGGGGAUAACUACUCGAAAGAGUAGCUAAUACCGCAUGAGAACUGAGGUUGAAAGCAGGGGAUCGAAAGACCUUGCGCAACUGGAGCGGCCGAUGGCAGAUUAGGUAGUUGGUGGGAUAAAAGCUUACCAAGCCGACGAUCUGUAGCUGGCCUGAGAGGACGACCAGCCACACUGGGACUGAGACACGGCCCAGACUCCUACGGGAGGCAGCAGUGGGGAAUUUUGGACAAUGGGCGAAAGCCUGAUCCAGCAAUGCCGCGUGCAGGAUGAAGGCCUUCGGGUUGUAAACUGCUUUUGUACGGAACGAAAAGCUUCGGGUUAAUACCCUGGAGUCAUGACGGUACCGUAAGAAUAAGCACCGGCUAACUACGUGCCAGCCGCCGCUGUAA
This 500-nucleotide ribosomal RNA is filed under the name uncultured bacterium. Its description in RNAcentral is "partial 16S ribosomal RNA". It matches the Rfam family "Bacterial small subunit ribosomal RNA", at positions 30 to 523 of the family's 1533-position model. The record is from RNAcentral.